RNAcentral lists this ribosomal RNA (519 nucleotides) under uncultured eukaryote. RNAcentral's name for it is "SSU rRNA". It matches the Rfam family "Eukaryotic small subunit ribosomal RNA", at positions 1161 to 1698 of the family's 1831-position model. The record is from RNAcentral.
AGGGCACCACCAGGAGCGGAGCCUGCGGCUUAAUUUGACUCAACACGGGGAAACUUACCCGGCCUGGACACUGGAAGGAUUGACAGAUUGAGAGCUCUUUCUUGAUUCAGUGGGUGGUGGUGCAUGGCCGUUCUUAGUUGGUGGAGCGAUUUGUCUGGUUAAUUCCGAUAACGAACGAGACUCUAGCCUAUUAAAUAGGCUCUCGGCUUUUAAACGCCGGGAGGACUUCUUAGAGGGACAGGUGGCGGUUCAGCCGCACGAAAGAGAGCAAUAACAGGUCUGUGAUGCCCUUUGUUGUCCGGGGCCGCACGCGCGCUACACUGAAGAGAUCAGCGUGCUUUACGUUCCUGCUCCGACCGGAGUGGGGAACCCAGUGAACCUUCUUCGUGAUUGGGAUAGAAGAUUGUAAUUAUUCUUCUUGAACGAGGAAUUCCCAGUAAAUGCGAGUCAUAAGCUCGCGUUGAUUACGUCCUGGCCCUUUGUACAAACCGCCCGUUCGCUCCUCCCGACUGCAGUAUU